This 301-nucleotide ribosomal RNA is filed under the name uncultured bacterium. RNAcentral's name for it is "partial 16S ribosomal RNA". It matches the Rfam family "Bacterial small subunit ribosomal RNA", at positions 509 to 807 of the family's 1533-position model. The record is from RNAcentral.
CAGCCGCCGCGGUAAUACGUAGGGUGCGAGCGUUAAUCGGAAUUACUGGGCGUAAAGCGUGCGCAGACGGUUUUGUAAGACAGGCGUGAAAUCCCCGGGCUCAACCUGGGAAUGGCGCUUGUGACUGCAAAGCUAGAGUGCGGCAGAGGGGGAUGGAAUUCCGCGUGUAGCAGUGAAAUGCGUAGAUAUGCGGAGGAACACCGAUGGCGAAGGCAAUCCCCUGGGCCUGCACUGACGCUCAUGCACGAAAGCGUGGGGAGCAAACAGGAUUAGAUACCCCUGUAGUCCCUGUCUCUUAUAC